RNAcentral lists this small nucleolar RNA (135 nucleotides) under Mus pahari (shrew mouse). Its description in RNAcentral is "small nucleolar RNA, H/ACA box 75 (MGP_PahariEiJ_G0034673.1)". It matches the Rfam family "Small nucleolar RNA SNORA75". From Rfam's summary of the family: U23 belongs to the H/ACA class of snoRNAs. snoRNAs bind a number of proteins (including dyskerin, Gar1p and Nop10p in the case of the H/ACA class) to form snoRNP complexes. This class are thought to guide the sites of modification of uridines to pseudouridines by forming direct base pairing interactions with substrate RNAs. Targets include ribosomal and spliceosomal RNAs as well as the Trypanosoma spliced leader RNA (SL RNA) as possibly other, still unknown cellular RNAs. The record is from RNAcentral. Lineage: Eukaryota; Metazoa; Chordata; Mammalia; Rodentia; Muridae.
AUCUUCUCAUUGAGCUCCUUUCUGUCAACCAGUGAUAGAUUAUGGAUUCGCACGAGAAGAAAAGAGAAUUCACAGAACUGGCACACUUAUCUUCUGUUUUUGCAGAAGUAUAUUUGGCUGUUCUGUGACACAUUC